GAUGAACGCUGGCGGCGUGCCUAAUACAUGCAAGUCGAGCGAACGGACGAGAAGCUUGCUUCUCUGAUGUUAGCGGCGGACGGGUGAGUAACACGUGGAUAACCUACCUAUAAGACUGGGAUAACUUCGGGAAACCGGAGCUAAUACCGGAUAAUAUUUUGAACCGCAUGGUUCAAAAGUAAAAGACGGUCUUGCUGUCACUUAUAGAUGGAUCCGCGCUGCAUUAGCUAGUUGGUAAGGUAACGGCUUACCAAGGCAACGAUGCAUAGCCGACCUGAGAGGGUGAUCGGCCACACUGGAACUGAGACACGGUCCAGACUCCUACGGGAGGCAGCAGUAGGGAAUCUUCCGCAGAGGGCGAAAGCCUGACGGAGCAACGCCGCGUGAGUGAUGAAGGUCUUCGGAUCGUAAAACUCUGUUAUUAGGGAAGAACAUAUGUGUAAGUAACUGUGCACAUCUUGACGGUACCUAAUCAGAAAGCCACGGCUAACUACGUG
RNAcentral lists this ribosomal RNA (497 nucleotides) under uncultured bacterium. RNAcentral's name for it is "partial 16S ribosomal RNA". It matches the Rfam family "Bacterial small subunit ribosomal RNA", at positions 28 to 507 of the family's 1533-position model. The record is from RNAcentral.